This 252-nucleotide ribosomal RNA is filed under the name uncultured bacterium. Its description in RNAcentral is "partial 16S ribosomal RNA". It matches the Rfam family "Bacterial small subunit ribosomal RNA", at positions 524 to 775 of the family's 1533-position model. The record is from RNAcentral.
UACGAGGGGGGCAAGCGUUGUUCGGAAUUAUUGGGCGUAAAGGGCGCGUAGGCGGUGCGGUAAGUCACCUGUGAAAUCUCCGGGCUUAACUCGGAGCCUGCAGGCGAAACUGCCGUGCUGGAGUAUGGGAGAGGUGCGUGGAAUUCCCGGUGUAGCGGUGAAAUGCGCAGAUAUCGGGAGGAACACCGGUGGCGAAGGCGGUUCUCUGGGCCUUACCUGACGCUGAGGAGCGAAAGCGUGGGGAGCAAACAG